RNAcentral lists this small RNA (131 nucleotides) under Pantoea brenneri. RNAcentral's name for it is "StyR-44". It matches the Rfam family "Salmonella enterica Typhi npcRNA 44". Lineage: Bacteria; Pseudomonadati; Pseudomonadota; Gammaproteobacteria; Enterobacterales; Erwiniaceae. RNAcentral also lists the same sequence under 1 other name. The record is from RNAcentral.
CUUUAACAAUCCGGAACAAGCUGAAAAUUGAAACGACAUGUCGUUUUCAUUCUCCGUAAUAAGAAUGAAAGCUAAGACAUGUUCGAGUCUCUCAAAUGCUUGCAAUUCGCAGCGCUGAAAAACGCCUGUGG